Molecule: long non-coding RNA, 1177 nt
Filed under: Homo sapiens (human)
Lineage: Eukaryota; Metazoa; Chordata; Mammalia; Primates; Hominidae
Description: HSALNT0283071
Source: RNAcentral
GCGAUUGCUUGUGCGCGCCGCCACGCCUGACUGGUUUUCGUAAUUUUUUGGUGGAGAUGGGGUUUCGCUGUGUUGGCUGGGCUGGUCUCCAGCUCCUAACCGCGAGUGAUCCGCCAGCCUCGGCCUCCCGAGGUGCCGGGAUUGCAGACGGAGUCUGGUUCACUCAGUGUUCAAUGGUGCCCAGCCUGGAGUGCAGCGGCGUGAUCUCAGCUCCCUACAACCUCCACCUCCCAGCCGCCUGCCUUGGCCUCCCAAAGUGCCAAGAGUGCAGCCUCUGCCCGGCCGCCACCCCGUCUGGGAAGUGAGGAGCGUCUCUGCCUGGCCGCCCAUCGUCUGGGACAUGAGGAGCCCCUCUGCCUGGCUGCCCAGUCUGGAAAGUGAGGAGCGUCUCUACCCGGCCGCCAUCCCAUCUAGGAAGUGAGGAGCGCCUCUUCCCGGCCGCCAUCCCAUCUAGGAAGUGAGGAGCGGGGUCUCUGCCCAGCCGCCCAUCGUCUGAGAUGUGGGGAGUGCCUCUGCCCCGCCACCCCGUCUGGGAUGUGAGGAGCACCUCUGCCCAGCCGCGACCGCAUCUGGGAGAAAGAAGACAGGCUUGAAGGAUGGCAAGACAGCUUAUAGGAGGAAGGGAAUAGGAAAAGUAUGGCUAGCAAAGGUGGUAUUGUCAUGCAGAUGAAACUUCACAGAAUUAACACCACAUAUACAUGAAUGCUGCCAAGAAUUAGACCUUGCAUCCUUUGGCGAAAUGACCCAAGUUGUUCCUGGAGUCAUAUCCAGGAGAUAAUCAACUAAGAGCCAGGCACCCCUUCAAGUCCGAAAAGAAACAUUUUACAACCUGCUCUCUCUGAAGUCUGCUAUCUGACAGCUUCCUCUGCACAAUAAAACUUGGUCUCCACAAUUCUUUAUCCUAACCUGAACAUUUCCUUUCAUCCCAGGUCUUCAGAAAAACUCAACCAAUUGUCAACCAGAAAAUGUUUUAAUUUACCUGUACCCUGGAAGCCCCCGCUUUGAGUUGUCCCACCUUUCUGAACCAAACCAAUGAUGUACUACUUAAAUGUAUUUGAUUGAUGUCUCAUGCCUCCCUACAAUAUAUAAAACCAAGCUGUAACCCAACCACCAUGGACAUAUGUUCUCAGGGCCUCCUGAGGGCUGUGUCAUGGGCCAUGGUCACUCAUAUUUGGCU